UAGGGAAUCUUCGGCAAUGGACGGAAGUCUGACCGAGCAACGCCGCGUGAGUGAAGAAGGUUUUCGGAUCGUAAAGCUCUGUUGUAAGAGAAGAACGAGUGUGAGAGUGGAAAGUUCACACUGUGACGGUAUCUUACCAGAAAGGGACGGCUAACUACGUGCCAGCAGCCGCGGUAAUACGUAGGUCCCGAGCGUUGUCCGGAUUUAUUGGGCGUAAAGCGAGCGCAGGCGGUUAGAUAAGUCUGAAGUUAAAGGCUGUGGCUUAACCAUAGUAGGCUUUGGAAACUGUUUAACUUGAGUGCAAGAGGGGAGGGUGGAAUUCCAUGUGUAGCGGUGAAAUGCGUAGAUAUAUGGAGGAACACCGGUGGCGAAAGCGGCUCUCUGGCUUGUAACUGACGCUGAGGCUCGAAAGCGUGGGGAGCAAACAGGAUUAGAUACCCUGGUAGUCCACGCUGUAAACGAUGAGUGCUAGGUGUUAGACCCUUUCCGGGGUUUAGUGCCGUAGCUAACGCAUUAAGCACUCCGCCUGGGGAGUACAACCGCAAGGUUG
This 550-nucleotide ribosomal RNA is filed under the name uncultured bacterium. RNAcentral describes it as "bacterial SSU rRNA". It matches the Rfam family "Bacterial small subunit ribosomal RNA", at positions 355 to 896 of the family's 1533-position model. The record is from RNAcentral.